CAUUUAUUUCCUCUCAAUUCAUUCUUAGAUCAACAAUGAACUUUUCAUGUGUGUGAUCCACGUGAGUGCAAAUUCCUUUGAAGGAUUAUGAUGUAAGAGUUCAAGGAUUGGAUAAAAAAUUGGCAUCAUAUAAAAACCAGCCCUCUAUUUCUGCCCACUUAUAAUAAUCCAUGAUAUGUUCUUCAAAUUGUAAGUAAAUAAGUUUAAUGGUGGAGUUUGGGAGGGAAAAUAUGAAAGCAGAUCUU
RNAcentral lists this long non-coding RNA (245 nucleotides) under Phascolarctos cinereus (koala). RNAcentral's name for it is "lncRNA (ENSPCIG00000032819.1)". Lineage: Eukaryota; Metazoa; Chordata; Mammalia; Diprotodontia; Phascolarctidae. The record is from RNAcentral.